GCUAAAAAGAAAAAAACACUAUAUUCUCCAAAAAAUAUCUCGCCCUAGUUGUUGCUCCAAAUUAGCGAUCAAAAUUUCUCAUUGAAUGCUCAAAUCAUCAGCUAAAUCUCUAUCAUUUCCAAUCAUAGCUUCCAUUAUCGGUAUGUUUCUCAUCUCUCUGUAAAGACUUGAGUAAAGCUUUUUGUUCCUGGCGAUUUCUCAUCUCUCUGUAAACAUCAGCUUCACAGUAUGAGAAGAAGAAUCUAUCAUCGGGUCAAUUCCUGGUGAUUGCUGAUGGCGGGUUUAAAAUCGAAAACCCUAAGUUCUUUUUUUUUCAAGAUUUGGUGUUCUCUAUGUAUAUUGUUUUGUGAUAAAGUGUAAAGGAGCUACCUUGAUCUCUAAUUUAUAUGUAUCUAUAUGUGUUUUGUAUUUUUCCCAAGAUUUGGUGUUCUUUUGUUCUUUGAUGAAGUGUAAAGGAGCUAUCUUGAUGAGUAGUUUGUAUGAUAUUAAGGAUUGAAGAUCAUAAGAAGACACAGUAGAGAAUUUGCACUUAUUGCAAUUACGCCGAUGCACUGGCAUAUUUCAAGUUUUCAUAAGAUUAAAGAAAGAUCUAAAGGCUAAUAGUAGAAGUCAGAUUGUCAGUGAAUUUAGAAUCAAAGGUGGAACACUAAAUUGCAGGACAGGAAAUGCUCCAAGUACAAUUUGGGCCAAUUAGUCGAGGAGAAUACAAGAACUUAUGCGCCAAUUUGGUACUAUAUUAUGUCAGGUAAUCUGAUGUUUACUCAUAUGGUGUCAUACUUUUACGACUUUUGACUGCAAGACCAGCUUUAGGUAUAGUGAGAAACAUCUAAGUGUGCUUUGGAAAGUGGGAAGUUAGGUUCAGUUUUGGACUUUUUAGCUGGUGAUUGGCCAAUUGAUCAAGCGGAACUGUUAGCUUAUGUAGCACUGAGGUGCCAUGAGAAAGAUCCUUUAAAUCGGCCUAAUAUGCUCUCAGAAGUUUGGCCAACAUUUGAGCUAAAGAGAGGAUAUGCACACCACACUCAAAUCUGAUUACUUCAUCUUAGAGUUCCACGAGUAAAAAUGAAUUCCUCCUCAUUUCGUUUGUCCUAUUUUUCAGAUUUUCCACCUUCUCUGCCUGCUCUGGCUGCUCGGCUGCCUACAGCUCAAAAGAGUAAAAUUCAUGUAGGCAUGUUGGCCAGGAUAAUAGAUGGAUCAGUAUUUCUUAUCCUUUUGAUCAUUGGUAUCUUGUACAAGAGAGGUUGUCUAGCCAAAAAAGCUGCUGAUAGAGAACUUAAAGGACUGGAGCUAUAAGCUGGACUAUUUACUCUCAGACAGAUUAAAGCUGCGAUAAAGAAUUUUGACCCAGCUAACAAGAUAGGGGAAGGUGGUUUUGGUUCAGUUUAUAAGGAUGUCAUGGAAGAUCCACGUAUAGCAGUGGAUGGUUAUAUAUAUAAAGGCGAUGCAAUAAAAGGAUGGUUGUACAGUGGACACGAUACUUCUCCGAUGACAAACCUCAAUCUCGAUACCUGUGUUUGAUUCCCAAUUAUGCUCUCUAUCGCAUAAUUCAGGAAUAGCAGCAGCAGUCCUGAAACUUAUUUAGGUCUAUAAUGCCUUCUAUAAAUAAAAACAGCUUCAAAGAUGAACUUUGUAUUGAUAUAAAAAGUUAGUCAUGUCUUGUGGUAGUUCCACCGCGUUAGUACUUGGAUUUGAGUUAUUUGAACUUGUCAAGUAAGUAUAUAGGUGUUACUACAGUACUGAGAUGUACAGAUUUUAUCACUAUGUAUACUGGAUUUGAUUUUCGAUAGCAAUUUUGAUAUAAAUUGAUGAAAUUUAUUAUUUUUUGAUA
This is a long non-coding RNA of Capsicum annuum, 1825 nucleotides long. RefSeq lists it as uncharacterized. The transcript is spliced from 4 exons. The record is from RefSeq and is a predicted model, not a curated record. Lineage: Eukaryota; Viridiplantae; Streptophyta; Magnoliopsida; Solanales; Solanaceae.